AACGAACGCUGGCGGCAUGCCUAACACAUGCAAGUCGAACGAGACCUUCGGGUCUAGUGGCGCACGGGUGCGUAACGCGUGGGAACCUGCCCUUAGGUUCGGAAUAACUCCCCGAAAGGGGUGCUAAUACCGGAUAAUGUCUUCGGACCAAAGAUUUAUCGCCUUUGGAUGGGCCCGCGUUGGAUUAGCUAGUUGGUAGGGUAAAAGCCUACCAAGGCGACGAUCCAUAGCUGGUCUGAGAGGAUGAUCAGCCACACUGGGACUGAGACACGGCCCAGACCCCCGGGGGGGGGAGGAGGGGGAAAUAUGGCACAGGGGGCAAGAGCGUGACCCAGAAGCCCCGGGAGUGUUAUGAGGGCUAGGGGUGUAUAACGCUUUUUUACCGGGUAUGAUAAGGAGGGCCCGGAGAAAAAACGCCCCGGAUAACCCC
Molecule: ribosomal RNA, 430 nt
Filed under: uncultured bacterium
Lineage: Bacteria
Description: partial 16S ribosomal RNA
Rfam family: Bacterial small subunit ribosomal RNA
Source: RNAcentral